This 248-nucleotide ribosomal RNA is filed under the name uncultured bacterium. RNAcentral describes it as "partial 16S ribosomal RNA". It matches the Rfam family "Bacterial small subunit ribosomal RNA", at positions 524 to 776 of the family's 1533-position model. The record is from RNAcentral.
UACGGAGGUGCGAGCGUUAAUCGGAAUUAUUGGGCGUAAAGCGCGCGCAGGCGGCUGCGCAAGUCUGAUGUGAAGCCCGGGCUCAACCUGGGAAGUGCAUCGGAACUGCGUAGCUUGAGUACGGGAGAGGAAGCGGAAUUCCGAGUGUAGGGGUGAAAUCCGUAGAUAUUCGGAAGAACACCAGUGGCGAAGGCGGCUUCCUGGACCGAUACUGACGCUGAGGCGCGAAAGCGUGGGGAGCAAACAGG